CCCGCUGAACUUAAGCAUAUCAAUAAGCGGAGGAAAAGAAACUAACAAGGAUUCCCCUAGUAACUGCGAGUGAAGCGGGAAAAGCUCAAAUUUAAAAUCUGGCAGUGGCUCACUGCUCAAGUUGUGAUCUAGAGAAGUGUUGCUCACACUGGACCAUGUAUAAGUCUUCAGGAUUGAAGCGUCUUAGAGGGUGAGAAUUCCGUCUUUGACAUGGGCUCGUCAGUGUAUCAGUAGUAUGCUCUCAGAGAGUCGAGUUGUUAGGGAAUGCAGCUUUAAAUGGGUCGUCACCUCCCUCUAAAGCUAAAUACUGGCGAGAGACCCAAAGUGAACAAGUGCCGUGAGGGAAAGAUGAAGAGAACUUUGGAAAGAGAUUUAAAAAGUAGGUGAAAAUGUUGAAAGGGAAACGCUUGAAGUCCGUCACAUUGGCCAGGGAUCAACUCGCGUAACUGUACUUCCUGGUUGAUGGGCCAACAUCAGCUUUGACUGUCAGAGAAGGGUAGGGGGAAUGUGGCACCCUCCUGGGUGUGUUAUAGCCCUCUGUCAUAUAUGGUCGUUGGGGCUGAGGAAAGCAGCGCGCCACAAGGCCGGGUUUCGACCACGUUCGCGCUUAGGAUGCUGGCAUAAUGGCUUUAAUCGACCCGUCUUGAAACACGG
This 654-nucleotide ribosomal RNA is filed under the name uncultured fungus. RNAcentral's name for it is "eukaryotic LSU rRNA". It matches the Rfam family "Eukaryotic large subunit ribosomal RNA", at positions 24 to 664 of the family's 3401-position model. Lineage: Eukaryota; Fungi. The record is from RNAcentral.